This 1346-nucleotide ribosomal RNA is filed under the name uncultured bacterium. RNAcentral describes it as "bacterial SSU rRNA". It matches the Rfam family "Bacterial small subunit ribosomal RNA", at positions 28 to 1381 of the family's 1533-position model. The record is from RNAcentral.
GACGAACGUUGGCGGCGUGCUUAACACAUGCAAGUCGAACGGAAAGGCCCUGCUUUUGUGGGGUGCUCGAGUGGCGAACGGGUGAGUAACACGUGAGUAACCUGCCCUUGACUUUGGGAUAACUUCAGGAAACUGGGGCUAAUACCGGAUAGGAGCUCCUGCUGCAUGGUGGGGGUUGGAAAGUUUCGGCGGUUGGGGAUGGACUCGCGGCUUAUCAGCUUGUUGGUGGGGUAGUGGCUUACCAAGGCUUUGACGGGUAGCCGGCCUGAGAGGGUGACCGGCCACAUUGGGACUGAGAUACGGCCCAGACUCCUACGGGAGGCAGCAGUGGGGAAUAUUGCACAAUGGGCGGAAGCCUGAUGCAGCAACGCCGCGUGCGGGAUGACGGCCUUCGGGUUGUAAACCGCUUUCGCCUGUGACGAAGCGUGAGUGACGGUAAUGGGUAAAGAAGCACCGGCUAACUACGUGCCAGCAGCCGCGGUGAUACGUAGGGUGCGAGCGUUGUCCGGAUUUAUUGGGCGUAAAGGGCUCGUAGGUGGUUGAUCGCGUCGGAAGUGUAAUCUUGGGGCUUAACCCUGAGCGUGCUUUCGAUACGGGUUGACUUGAGGAAGGUAGGGGAGAAUGGAAUUCCUGGUGGAGCGGUGGAAUGCGCAGAUAUCAGGAGGAACACCAGUGGCGAAGGCGGUUCUCUGGGCCAUUCCUGACGCUGAGGAGCGAAAGCGUGGGGAGCGAACAGGCUUAGAUACCCUGGUAGUCCACGCUGUAAACGGUGGGUACUAGGUGUGGGGUCCAUUCCACGGGUUCCGUGCCGUAGCUAACGCUUUAAGUACCCCGCCUGGGGAGUACGGCCGCAAGGCUAAAACUCAAAGGAAUUGACGGGGCCCCGCACAAGCGGCGGAGCAUGCGGAUUAAUUCGAUGCAACGCGUAGAACCUUACCUGGGUUUGACAUGGAUCGGGAGCGCUCAGAGAUGGGUGUGCCUCUUUUGGGGUCGGUUCACAGGUGGUGCAUGGCUGUCGUCAGCUCGUGUCGUGAGAUGUUGGGUUAAGUCCCGCAACGAGCGCAACCCUUGUUCACUGUUGCCAGCACGUUAUGGUGGGGACUCAGUGGAGACCGCCGGGGUCAACUCGGAGGAAGGUGGGGAUGACGUCAAGUCAUCAUGCCCCUUAUGUCCAGGGCUUCACGCAUGCUACAAUGGCUGGUACAGAGAGUGGCGAGCCUGUGAGGGUGAGCGAAUCUCGGAAAGCCGGUCUCAGUUCGGAUUGGGGUCUGCAACUCGACCUCAUGAAGUCGGAGUCGCUAGUAAUCGCAGAUCAGCAACGCUGCGGUGAAUACGUUCCCGGGGCU